CCUACGGGUGGCAGCAGUGGGGAAUAUUGGACAAUGGGCGAAAGCCUGAUCCAGCCAUGCCGCGUGUGUGAAGAAGGUCUUCGGAUUGUAAAGCACUUUAAGUCGGGAGGAAGGGCCGCAGGCUAAUAUCCUGGGGUUUUGACGUUACCGACAGAAUAAGCACCGGCUAACUUCGUGCCAGCAGCCGCGGUAAUACGAAGGGUGCAAGCGUUAAUCGGAAUUACUGGGCGUAAAGCGCGCGUAGGUGGCUGGGUAAGUUGGAUGUGAAAGCCCCGGGCUCAACCUGGGAACUGCAUCCAAAACUGCCUGGCUAGAGUACGGUAGAGGGUGGUGGAAUUUCCUGUGUAGCGGUGAAAUGCGUAGAUAUAGGAAGGAACACCAGUGGCGAAGGCGACCACCUGGACCGAUACUGACACUGAGGUGCGAAAGCGUGGGGAGCA
Molecule: ribosomal RNA, 440 nt
Filed under: uncultured bacterium
Lineage: Bacteria
Description: bacterial SSU rRNA
Rfam family: Bacterial small subunit ribosomal RNA
Source: RNAcentral